UACAGAGGGUGCGAGCGUUAAUCGGAUUUACUGGGCGUAAAGCGUGCGUAGGCGGCUGAUUAAGUCGGAUGUGAAAUCCCUGAGCUUAACUUAGGAAUUGCAUUCGAUACUGGUCAGCUAGAGUAUGGGAGAGGAUGGUAGGAUUCCAGGUGUAGCGGUGAAAUGCGUAGAGAUCUGGAGGAAUACCGAUGGCGAAGGCAGCCAUCUGGCCUAAUACUGACGCUGAGGUACGAAAGCAUGGGGAGCAAACAGGAUUAGAUACCCUGGUAGUCCAUGCCGUAAACGAUGUCUACUAGCCGUUGGGGCCUUUGAGGCUUUAGUGGCGCAGCUAACGCGAUAAGUAGACCGCCUGGGGAGUACGGUCGCAAGACUAAAACUCAAAUGAAUUGACGGGGGCCCGCACAAGCGGUGGAGCAUGUGGUUUAAUUCGAUGCAACGCGAAGAACCUUACCUGGUCUUGACAUAGUAAGAACUUUCCAGAGAUGGAUUGGUGCCUUCGGGAACUUACAUA
RNAcentral lists this ribosomal RNA (511 nucleotides) under gamma proteobacterium MPD-95. RNAcentral's name for it is "bacterial SSU rRNA". It matches the Rfam family "Bacterial small subunit ribosomal RNA", at positions 524 to 1034 of the family's 1533-position model. Lineage: Bacteria; Pseudomonadati; Pseudomonadota; Gammaproteobacteria. The record is from RNAcentral.